GGGCGAAUGGUUUAGUGGUAUAAUACUCCCUUAGCAUGUGUUAGGACACUAAUUCAACGCUUGGGAGUGGUCCGGGGUUCGAUUCCCCGUUUGUCCA
Claviceps purpurea 20.1 is the source of this 97-nucleotide transfer RNA. It matches the Rfam family "tRNA". From Rfam's summary of the family: Transfer RNA (tRNA) molecules are approximately 80 nucleotides in length. Lineage: Eukaryota; Fungi; Ascomycota; Sordariomycetes; Hypocreales; Clavicipitaceae. The record is from Rfam.